Cinara cedri is the source of this 549-nucleotide non-coding RNA. The record is from the annotation of a GenBank genome assembly. NCBI's taxonomy places the organism in Eukaryota, Metazoa, Arthropoda, Insecta, Hemiptera, Aphididae.
GUAUAUUAACAAAACAAAGUGUAGAUGGUCUCGGCACUACACAUAAAAUAACCUAUUUGCAAAGCCUAUAUUGCUCUCCAACAUCAAAGUCUUGUGGUUCAACAUUAAUAGAUAGUGUAUAGCAGCGGUUCCCAAAUUGUGCGUUACGGUCUUUCGAAAAAAAAAGAUUCUGAGUCACUGGCCACUGCUAUAUAGUGUACACACCGAAUUCAAUACCGGUCGGCGCGCGCGAUAUCAUGUUAUGCGAGCGGUGUGCGAUAUUGUAUUAAUUAAGAAAAAAAAAAGCGGUGUAUCCGAAUUGCAUGCCAAAAAAAUAAAUGUUAAUUGGAACGUUCAUCUUAUAAAGGGGUUCGUCCGAAUUGCAUGCCAUUUCUUAUCGAGGUCUAUUCGAAUUGCGUGCCGUAUAUAAUUUUCAUAUCAACGCCGAAAAUAAAAAACUGCGCUAUUAUCACGAGUGCCGUAUGUAGUGUAUAGUAUAUAAUUAUUUUAAUAGAUAUUAAAACAAAUGGGUUUUCUAAGUUGCAUAAUAUUAGUACGCAUUAGAACGUU